CGACUCUCUGGGGGCUCGGUCCCCGGCUCGGUGAUGCGGAUGGUUCCUCCCAGGCCCAGACCCGGGGUCGGGCAGGGCAAGGAAAGUCAGCCCAGGCCUGGAAGAUGUGGGACUUCCUGGAAGCCCUCCUGUUCCCGAUCCUUGCCAUCUUGUGGGUCAAUAAAUGGCCUCUCUCCGACGGGGGGUUCGCCCUUCUCUUCCUGGCGCUGCUGCUCUGGCAGGCCCGGAGGGGCCACAUUGGGCUGAAGAAGAACCAAGAAAAGACCCACAACAUGCAUCGUCCCAAGAACCGGCUGGAGGGUGCAUCAGCUAAAGUUCGGAGCUUGGGCCAAGAACACCCCAAGGAUCGAGCGGAAGUCCUGCAUAUCCUGAAAAGGCAUGACAUGGGCAUGUUCUGUGGAAAAUCUGGCCGUGCCGUCUGCCAGCGUCUCAGAGAAGAAGCCUAUGGAGUGUUCUCAAAGGACAGCACCCUCUACCGCGUGCUCCCACCACCCCCGGCCGGUAGGGAGAAGGUGACUCGGCCCGGGUCAUCUUUCCACCGUUCCAGAGAGACCGCCUCCCGACCUCACAGCUCCAAAUCGGGUGAAUGUUGCUGUAGUUCAAAGGUCAUGAUCCUCCCUGCAGACGUAGGGCCUCAAACUCCUCAAAUGGAGAAGCGACAAGAGCCCCAGCAGCUGGGUUUCCCACCUUCUGGCCACAGCACAUCAGUGGUCCCUGAAGAGAAAGCCCACAGAGACGCAGAACAAACAUCUGCUAAGCAGCAGCGAGAGGCCAAGGCCUUGACCCUGGAAAUCGAGCCCCCCUCCCGGCCCUCUUUCCUCGCCCCCAAGACCCGCAGCUUCCUGGAGCAACACUUGAAGUCCAUGCUCCAUUUCCAGCAAUGCAGGCUGCCCAGUUGGGUCCUGGAGGCCCAGAGUCUGUUACCACCUCAGGCGGGAGAGCAAGACAUCCAGCCUGGCUCUCCCUGGAGAAAAGAUUUGGUCGUGCCUGAAGAUUCCCACAGGAUGAAGAUGAUGAAGAGCAAGGAGGCCCUGGAAGAGCACAUGGCCCAAAAAUGUCAUCAGCUGAGACAUGGGGACAUCCCCCCCGUAGUACACAAUGGUCAAGGCGACACCAGCCCCUCACCGCCGGUGGCCCUCCCCACAUCGCCGAGCCCUCUGGCUCUCUUCGGCCCCAGAAGUCCAGCCCCCACCAUAGAAGACUCCCCGCCUCCGGACCUUCUAGAGACCAGACCUCAGUCGCCAGCCCAGAGGAUCGCUUCUCCGAUGCCGAGCUCGAGCCCCAGGCUGCGGGAGGACCAACCACUCCCGGUGGAACCCUCAGACCUGCCCGAGGCUUCGCUGAAGAAGAGCCUGGAAUCGGUCACGCAGCAGAAACACGUGGACGUCAUCUCUGGGUGUGACACGCGUGACAUGCACUACGAUCCAGCUGCCGACAGGGUCGUCUCUCCAUCGGGACCUGUCCAGACGGGACUGAGCCCAGAGGACGAGCCGGGCCUGCAAGCAGACCGUUCAGAAUGCAGCACGGUAGAUCGGGAGAAGGGGGGGACAUCUGAAGAACCAAAACUCUCCCCCGUCACCCAACGCCAGGUGUUUUCAAUGGACAGCAGGGCAGGUGACCAUUCUCACAGAGUCGGAGACCGUGACGGGCCUCAGAAUCCUACUGCCCAAGUCCCAGGGCAGGAGAGAGAGGGGCCCGGUCUCCUGGGCUCCUGCCACUCAAAGCCUUCAAUCUACCCUCCCAAGACUGCAUUUAGCUUGAGGGUCCCUGUGAACAUCCAGAGAGGGGAGAGAGGCAUCCAGAGACGGGAGAGGGACCCCAGCCAAAGGGACAGCAGGUCCUCUGUCUCUGCCUUGGCAGAAAGGGGACCAGCUCCCACCAUGGCUCACGGCCCUGGAGUUUCCACCUCAGGGCCAGUAAGCACCAGAAGGGGCCAAAAGCCGCCACCCAGAGUCACGUUUUCUGAACAGGUGAAGACGUGGUUUGGCUCCAAAGGCCAGCAGGCGGGCAUCAGCCCCAGGGCGCGGACGACAGCCGCCGUAGCAGAGCCAGGCAAGCCGAGCUCAACGUCACCGGGGAAUACUAAACCAUCCUCCCCGACCCGCCAACCCGUGAGCCGCCGCCCUCGGAAAGGAUUCCCGGGUCACAGUCCACAUGGGCCCGGGGCCCCAUAAACCCGCACGAAGAUCAAGAUUCAAGGGAGUCUUUCUGGCGCAUGGGCCAAUCGUCCCGGUCUCCCAACACCACAGUUUCUAAUUUCGUUCGCUCUCCUGAUCUCUGUUAAAAUAAACUCAUCUUCCUGUAGGAGAGCCGUGUGUUCUGACUGCCCUCGCCUUCCCUGGGACUGGGUCCUGAGGUGCUCUGGAACUCAGUCCCCAGACGUAGCCAAGUCUGGGUGCUCCCGGGGAGGUCGCGAUGGCGUUCGUCUCCCCCCGUGUAGGGGAGGGGAACCAGGAUGGGGAGCGCGGGGUCGUGGAAGUCAGGCUUGGGUCGCGAGGGGACGGUCGGGCCCUACCCGGCUCCCAUUCCCCUUUCCCAGUCUCUUCGACCGCGGCCCUGGCACUGACCCUCAGAAAGGGCGGUCUGGGCUGAAGUACUUCAGAGUUGGGGUGGGGAGGGUUGGAUGGGAUCGGCGUUGGAAUCGUGGCCUGGGCCAACGAGACGAGAUGAAGGACAGAAUCCGGCCCAGGGUUUUACCCAGCUUUCACUCGACUCUCUGACUCUUCCCUUUCAUCCAACCCACGUAUUCGACCAUCGCUAAAUCCUGUCGGUUCCACCUUCACGAUAUCGCUCAAAUCCGCCCCUUCCUCUCCAUCCAAACUGCUACUACGUUAAUCCAAGCACUUACCCUAUCCCGCCUCAUCUCUUCGUUGAGCUUCCCGCCCCCCGUCUCACCGCACUCCAGUUCAUACUUCACUCUGCUGCCCGGAUCAUUUUCCCACAGAUAGGUUCAGACCACGUUUCCCCACUCCUCAAGUGACUCCGGUGGUUGUUCAUCCAUCUCCACAUCGAACAAAAACUCCUCCCUAUUGGCUUGAAAGCACUCAAUCACCUCGCCCCCUCCUAUUGCACCUCACCACUCUCCUACGACGACCCAGCCCUCACACUUUGCUCCUCUGAUGCAGAUCUUCUCACUGUACCUCCAUCUCUUCUAUCUCGCCACCAACCUCUCACCCACCCUUAUCUCCGGCCUGG
Molecule: long non-coding RNA, 3195 nt
Filed under: Ornithorhynchus anatinus (platypus)
Lineage: Eukaryota; Metazoa; Chordata; Mammalia; Monotremata; Ornithorhynchidae
Description: lncRNA (ENSOANG00000041132.1)
Source: RNAcentral